CUGCCUAACAUGAUGAUUUAAUGUCAUGUCUCUUCUCUGACUCUGUUACACUGAAGAUGGCAAAUGAAAUCUGAUUAGGCAG
Molecule: small nucleolar RNA, 82 nt
Organism: Protopterus annectens (West African lungfish)
Lineage: Eukaryota; Metazoa; Chordata; Ceratodontiformes; Protopteridae
Product: small nucleolar RNA SNORD111
Exons: 1
Source: RefSeq, a predicted model, not a curated record